Molecule: small RNA, 589 nt
Filed under: Histoplasma capsulatum var. duboisii H88
Lineage: Eukaryota; Fungi; Ascomycota; Eurotiomycetes; Onygenales; Ajellomycetaceae
Description: Histoplasma capsulatum H88 hypothetical RNA
Source: RNAcentral
GAAUGGGAUCGCCCAAAGUUGCUUCCUGUGUGUGCCGUUUGCGGCAUUUUCGGGCCUGGUUGCUGGUUCUAUUAGUGAUGAAAUACAUAUUGUAACCCGUUUCUUUGCAGCAAGGGGCUUCUUCUAACCCAGCUGAUUUCCUCGGGUUCGCUCUCAGACUUCCCUUGCUGACUUGGAUUUCUAACUUGAACUUUAAAAAUAUCCUCGUUCAAUAGUUUUUCUCUGUUCCCGAUAAUGCACGCUGUUGAGUUGUGUGAGUGGAGCAACUAUUAACAUGUUUUCCUGCUGUUGGGCAUGACUGGGCAGUGACAACCCGUCUUUGGCUGACGGAGGCCCUCAAAUCAUUGAUGUCAAUACCUAAGUUACAUCCCCCGAGUUUAAAAUGCAACAACCAGGGGGGCAGCGCAAUCGCCCUCUCAUCCUCAGCCAUCCUCUUUCCAUUGUAGCUUUUCAUCAAGUCCCCGAGUUGGCCAUGGACGCGUGAUUUAAAAUCGACGAGUGGGGUUGCUCGCUGGGAUCAUGAUUGAUACCGGAUCCAUACUUGUGGGGAUGCUGAGGGUGAGCAUCCAUCCGCCCCCAAAAACAUACC